RNAcentral lists this ribosomal RNA (253 nucleotides) under uncultured bacterium. RNAcentral describes it as "partial 16S ribosomal RNA". It matches the Rfam family "Bacterial small subunit ribosomal RNA", at positions 524 to 776 of the family's 1533-position model. The record is from RNAcentral.
UACGUAGGGAGCAAGCGUUGUCCGGAAUCAUUGGGCGUAAAGGGCGCGCAGGUGGCUCUGUAUGUCUGCCGUGAAAGCAUACAGCUCAACUGUAUUGUGUCGGUAGAAACUGCAGGACUUGAGGCUGGGAGGGGCUGGUGGAAUUCCCUGUGUAGCGGUGAAAUGCGUAGAGAUGGGGGAGAACACUCGUGGCGAAGGCGGCCAGCUAGACCAGUUCUGACACUGAGGCGCGACAGCGUGGGGAGCAAACAGG